CAAACUGCGAAUACCGGAGAAUGUUAUCACGGGAGACACACGGCGGGUGCUAACGUCCGUCGUGAAGAGGGAAACAACCCAGACCGCCAGCUAAGGUCCCAAAGUCAUGGUUAAGUGGGAAACGAUGUGGGAAGGCCCAGACAGCCAGGAUGUUGGCUUAGAAGCAGCCAUCAUUUAAAGAAAGCGUAAUAGCUCACUGGUCGAGUCGGCCUGCGCGGAAGAUGUAACGGGGCUAAACCAUGCACCGAAGCUGCGGCAGCGAACGUAUCACUUAAAGCGAUUCAGCGGGUUACGAUUGACGGAGCGAAGCGACGUCAAAGCGUAUACAAAGUCGAGUCGGUUUAAGGAUACGUUCGUUGGGUAGGGGAGCGUUCUGUAAGCCUGUGAAGGUGGCCUGUGAGGGUUGCUGGAGGUAUCAGAAGUGCGAAUGCUGACAUAAGUAACGAUAAAGCGGGUGAAAAGCCCGCUCGCCGGAAGACCAAGGGUUCCUGUCCAACGUUAAUCGGGGCAGGGUGAGUCGACCCCUAAGGCGAGGCCGAAAGGCGUAGUCGAUGGGAAACGGGUUAAUAUUCCCGUACUUGGUGUUACUGCGAAGGGGGGACGGAGAAGGCUAUGUUGGCCGGGCGACGGUUGUCCCGGUUUAAGCGUGUAGGUGUGUGUUCCAGGUAAAUCCGGUUCACUUUAACACUGAGGCGUGACGACGAGGCACUACGGUGCUGAAGCAACAAAUGCCCUGCUUCCAGGAAAAGCCUCUAAGCAUCAGGUAACAUCAAAUCGUACCCCAAACCGACACAGGUGGUCAGGUAGAGAAUACCAAGGCGCUUGAGAGAACUCGGGUGAAGGAACUAGGCAAAAUGGUGCCGUAACU
RNAcentral lists this ribosomal RNA (868 nucleotides) under Salmonella enterica subsp. enterica serovar Derby. Its description in RNAcentral is "partial 23S ribosomal RNA". It matches the Rfam family "Bacterial large subunit ribosomal RNA", at positions 950 to 1735 of the family's 2925-position model. Lineage: Bacteria; Pseudomonadati; Pseudomonadota; Gammaproteobacteria; Enterobacterales; Enterobacteriaceae. The record is from RNAcentral.